Molecule: unclassified non-coding RNA, 154 nt
Filed under: soil metagenome
Description: partial internal transcribed spacer 1
Source: RNAcentral
CAAGUGACCCCGGUCUAACCACCGGGAUGUUCAUAACCCUUUGUUGUCCGACUCUGUUGCCUCCGGGGCGACCCUGCCUUCGGGCGGGGGCUCCGGGUGGACACUUCAAACUCUUGCGUAACUUUGCAGUCUGAGUAAACUUAAUUAAUAAUUA